UCCUACGGGGGGCAGCAGUGGGGGAUAUUGGACAAUGGGGGGAACCCUGAUCCAGCGACGCCGCGUGAGUGAAGAAGUAUUUCGGUAUGUAAAGCUCUGUCAGCAGGGAAGAAAGAAAUGACGGUACCUGACCAAGAAGCCCCGGCUAACUACGUGCCAGCAGCCGCGGUAAUACGUAGGGGGCAAGCGUUAUCCGGAUUUACUGGGUGUAAAGGGAACGUAGGUGGCAGGGCAAGUCAGAUGUGAAAACCCGGGGCUCAACUCCGGGAGUGCAUUUGAAACUGUCCAGCUAGAGUGCGGGAGAG
Molecule: ribosomal RNA, 305 nt
Filed under: uncultured bacterium
Lineage: Bacteria
Description: bacterial SSU rRNA
Rfam family: Bacterial small subunit ribosomal RNA
Source: RNAcentral